Long non-coding RNA from Clupea harengus (Atlantic herring), 1468 nucleotides. RefSeq lists it as uncharacterized. NCBI's taxonomy places the organism in Eukaryota, Metazoa, Chordata, Actinopteri, Clupeiformes, Clupeidae. The record is from RefSeq and is a predicted model, not a curated record. The transcript has 4 exons.
UUACAUUUAAAGACUGCUAGAUUUUCCUUGUUGAUUUUAUCAUAAGACAAAAAAGUGAGAUCUGACUAAAGUAACAAGUAAUCAGAUCUGGAAUAGUUAUUUGUAAUUGUGUGAAUGCUAAUUGUUUCACACAACCAUAACAAAUGUUUGGAGAAGGGGUUAAUGUUAAUGCUUGUUUGUGCAUUGUAUCUUGUCACCUUGACAACAAGAAUCUCGACAUUGGAAGAGAAUCAUUUGAAGCCAACAAAUUCAUCUGUCCGGUCCUUUGGCCUUUGAUAUAUAGGUAACUGAAGUCCCACAAUGUGCAACGUACUUGGCGAUAACGUUACAACAAACCAACCCAGAGGCCCAGCUGAGAAGAUAGCAUGGAGUUCAGAAUUGAGCGCCUGCUGCGAUGAUACAACUAUGUGCUGCGCUUCCUUCUGUUGCACGCGUUUAAUGACCGGUGCGUUGGCAGAGCAGUAUGGCGAAGGGUUCGCUGUUGGGCUAAUGAACUCCCUCCCAGCGUUAAGAAGUGAGAUGCGAGAGAGAUACAAUAUAAAGGGAAGCCUAUGUCACGAUUGGGGUGUAGGUGUUUGCUGUGGACCUUGUGGCCUUGUACAAAUGGCCAAAGAGGUUAAUAAGAGGCGCCCAUACUGAGACGCUCCUGGUCGUGUACCGGAAUGAAAAUAAAAUGUCUCUAAAAAAAAUUCCCCUGUUUUUUGUUGGUUUCUUCAAUCACCGUUACAGUUUGCAGGUUCAGGCCAGGUUAAUGAGCCGUUCCCGUGUAAAAACACAUAAAUACACACAAACAAUAGGGUCACCUAAAUGUCCAACGGAUUUAGUCAUUUUGGGGAUAUUGUGAUGUCCGCAACAGUGUCACCUUUGUGUUUUUGGUAAUUGUAUUUCAUUUUGAUAAUACUGUUUUCCUUGAAUACAAGGUCAUGUAUUUUAUUUUGGAAAAAAAUGGUGCUAAAGAAACAAAAUAAUUUCUGUGGUUUUAAAAUGUUUCUUUCCUAAGUAGAUGGACUUGUUGUACUUGCUCCAUACCAGCAGGGGGAAGAGUCGCGUAGCGAUCUCCUCUGCGUUCGUUGUGCACGUUCAACUUAUAACUGCAGAAAACUCGAAAGCAUCGACACGCUGUUGCCCUGCCUUGUCAUUUCUUUCCUGUAUAUAGGCUAUUAUCUGUUAGCUCGGUGCCGCCGCUGCGGUACCCGUUAUAAUAUCAAUGCCUGUACUGUAUGGUGUGACACAAGUAUCUGAACGCUUCUCUUUGCUCAUUUAUAUGCAGUCUCUCGAUAUAACCAAGCAUCUUUUUUUCUACAGACUAAAAAAAAAUCUGAAAGUUACAACAAACACUCCAGUACCCAUAAGGAUCACGAGUAAACUGACCACGUAGACAUGGAGAUGAGUGAUGUCUACAAUGUGUCAUCUGAUAAACACAACUGAUACAUUGAAUUAGUUACAUUUAAAUACUGUUCUUCAGCUG